GGGGAAUAUUGGACAAUGGGCGCAAGCCUGAUCCAGCCAUGCCGCGUGAGUGAUGAAGGCCUUAGGGUUGUAAAGCUCUUUUGUCCGGGAAGAUAAUGACUGUACCGGAAGAAUAAGCCCCGGCUAACUUCGUGCCAGCAGCCGCGGUAAUACGAAGGGGGCUAGCGUUGUUCGGAAUCACUGGGCGUAAAGCGCACGUAGGCGGACUUUUAAGUCAGAGGUGAAAGCCUGGAGCUCAACUCCAGAACUGCCUUUGAUACUGGGAGUCUCGAGUUCGGAAGAGGUUGGUGGAACUGCGAGUGUAGAGGUGAAAUUCGUAGAUAUUCGCAAGAACACCAGUGGCGAAGGCGGCCAACUGGUCCGAUACUGACGCUGAGGUGCGAAAGCGUGGGGAGCAAAC
RNAcentral lists this ribosomal RNA (400 nucleotides) under uncultured bacterium. Its description in RNAcentral is "bacterial SSU rRNA". It matches the Rfam family "Bacterial small subunit ribosomal RNA", at positions 356 to 773 of the family's 1533-position model. The record is from RNAcentral.